Molecule: ribosomal RNA, 510 nt
Filed under: uncultured bacterium
Lineage: Bacteria
Description: partial 16S ribosomal RNA
Rfam family: Bacterial small subunit ribosomal RNA
Source: RNAcentral
GACGAACGCUGGCGGCGUCCUUAACACAUGCAAGUCGAACGAAGAGCGACGGUAGCUUGCUUCUAUCAUUCUUAGUGCCGACAGGGUGAGUCACGCGUAAUCAACCUGCCCUUCAGAGGGGGACCACAGUUGGAAACGACUGCUAAUACAGCAUACGACCAAACCUCGACAUCGAGGAUAGAUGAAAGGUGGCCCCUACCUGUAAGCUAUCACUGAAGGCGGGGACUGCGUCUGAUUAGCUAGUUGGAGGGGUAACGGCCCACCAAGGCGAUGAUCAGUAGCCGGUCUGAGAGGAUGAACGGCCACUUUGGGACUGGGACACGGCCCAGACUACUACGGGAGGCAGCAGUAGGGAAUUUUCCGUGAUUGACGAUGAUCGGACGAAGCAACGCCGCGUGAGUGAUGACGACCGUCGGGUUAUAAAGCACUGUUAAUCGGGACGAAAGGCCUUCUUGCGAAUAGGGAGAAGGAUUGACGGUACCGGGAUAGAGAGCCACGGCUAACUACGUG